UUUGUGCCUUUUCAUUUAAGGGGAUGUUUAGUAACUGUAAUGAAGACCAUCAUAUCCACAGGCAUGUUGUUUAGCUUCAUGGCAUUGUAAAUUUCUGGUUUUCUUCCUGUUAUUGCUGCAGUCUCAGCUCCAGCUG
Ochotona curzoniae (black-lipped pika) is the source of this 136-nucleotide long non-coding RNA. RefSeq lists it as uncharacterized. The record is from RefSeq and is a predicted model, not a curated record. The transcript is spliced from 3 exons. Lineage: Eukaryota; Metazoa; Chordata; Mammalia; Lagomorpha; Ochotonidae.